This 3836-nucleotide long non-coding RNA is filed under the name Chinchilla lanigera (long-tailed chinchilla). RNAcentral's name for it is "lncRNA (ENSCLAG00000027894.1)". The record is from RNAcentral. Lineage: Eukaryota; Metazoa; Chordata; Mammalia; Rodentia; Chinchillidae.
UGGUGAUCGUGAUAUUUGUUGAGGGAGGCCUGUUACUAUCUAUUUUAUAGCACUGUCUUUCUAUCUCAAUUUUGCAUAUAGAGAAGACAUGAAAGAACCACAUGAUCAGGAUACCGAUGAGGGAAAAUCAGAUGGAUCAAAGAGUGAUGGGAAGCAGUCUUCCAAGUCUGAAGGGAAAUCUCAUACAAAAGAAGCCUUAGAAGAUAUCACAGAUGAAACAAUUACCGAAGGGGAAGAAUCAUAUCUAGAGGAAGAAGGUUCAGAUCUGGAAAAUGAGGAGGCAAGUUCAGGUUCAUCAGGAUAUGACUAUUCAGAUAGCACUAAAACAUCUCAAGAACCUGCUGCCCCAGGAGCAGAAGAGGCAGAGGAGGAAGUUAAGAAAAUAUCAGAGUCUUUCUUCUACAAUUACACGGAGCUUGCUUCAAUGCCUUUUGUGACUCCAGAUUCUGGCAUACCUCUGAAUUUCCUUGAGCUCGUACAUUCUUUUGGCUAUGACUGCAGAAAACGAGCCAACCUACAACUUCUAGACAGCAAUACCAUAUUGUACGUUGCUGGGAAUCAGCUGGUCCUUCUGGAUAUUAAAACCAAGGAACAAAUCUACCUGCGAAGUAGCAGUGGUGAAGGAAUUGGUGCCAUUGCGGUAUGACUUUAGUGACGGUGAAAAGAAGCUCAUCUUCUUUAUUGUUCUGUGGACCAACCCUCAGUAAUUGUUAGGUGCCAACUCCAUGUGUAGCCUUAUGGGAACACAUGGGGUGCACACCAUCACCUAAGGCAUUUUCUACUCAGUCAUUAUAACCACUACCUUCGCUGACAUUGUCUUCAUGCAGUAGUUCAGACAUUAAGAUUAUUAUUAUUAUUGUUACUAUUAUCCCAUUUUACAGAUAAGGAAACUGGGGCUUUAGAGCCUUGGUGACUUCCCCACCGUUGUGCAGGUUUUUUCACAUUCAGAUUAGAAGUAGGAGUGGUUGAUUUUUUAUUGGAGUACUGAUGCAGGCAUGUGGCAGUGGGAAGGGAGAAGGUGAGGACAGUGUGAGACCCACAGAGAGGACACAGAGGCAGACGGAGUGUGGAAACAGAAUAGCAUGAGAUAUGCAACGUGGAAAGAUAAUCUCAAGUUGGCUUCUUUCUUGAUCAUUGAUAUGUAGCAUGUGUCCAUGAUAAAAGUCCCUGUCCUGAGGGGUUUUUCAAAACUAGUAAGCUUAGCAAGAGUUUAUUGUAUAGUACUAUUCAGCCAAGACUACGCAGAACACACAGUGUAGAAUUUGAAGGAAGAAUUCAUAACCUGUACAAAUUCAAAGUUUAAAAUUCAUCUAAGGAGAAAAAACUACUUUUAAAAACCUAGAUACAUAAGUACAUGAUAAUGUGGUGAUAGCUAUAUGCAAAUAACCACGGGCCCAGUGUGAAGUCAUGGGUUUUGUGGGGGGAAGUCAUUCAGAAGCUGUGAGGGAUCAGGAGCCUGACGUCCACACGACCUGCAGAGGCAAAGAGAUGUGUAAUGAUCACAUGUUCAGUUCUCAUUUUGUGACCAUUAACAGUCUUUUUCUAUUUUGUUGUAAAAUAAUGUGCUAUGAAGGCAACAAGCAGAGGUGUAGUGUGGCCAAGAAUGCUCUUCCUAAUCCUUAGCCAUCUGGAUGUUGCGUGGUUUUGUGUCCCCGGGGGUUUUAUCCCCCUGUCUGUUGUGGGGCAGUGACGGAAGCCUCUGCGCUCCUGUGCAUGGCCCCUGUCUUCCUGCAGCAGUUGUGCAUGAGGAUGAGAAGCACUUUUGCAAGGCUAUAAGAAACCUGGGAGAAAUGUGUUCGGGGCAUAUACAAUAACUUCUAGAAAAGACAGGGAGAAUUCGUAUGUUGAGUAUCCAGUUAAUGACUUCCUAACUCCAGAUUUCCACUAAAAACAAACACCCAAACUCAAGCUCAUGGCAGCUUCUACUCUGAGGAGGCAGAAACUUUUUUGCUAACUGUGGAGAAGAUAAGACCUCUAUGUCUGGCUUGGAAAUAUCAUCUUUCUUACCUCUAUUAAGUUUACAGUCAUUUGUGAUGUUUGUUCAAGAUAAUUUUUGAAAAUUGAGAUAUAAUCUCCUCUGGAAACAUGAAUUUCAUACUGCUAAGGUUUGAAUGUGUCUCCCACAGUUUAUGCCUUGGAAAUUUAAUUCCUAAUAGGACAGCGUUGGGAGAUGGGGCCUAGGAAGGCAUGGUGAGGGCAUGAGUGGAUUACUAUAGUUAUGGAGGAGGCGGGUCAGUUAGAAUGAGAGUGGGCUGCUGUGAAAGUGAAGCUGGCUUCUUUUGCUUUCUCGCUCUCACCCUUGCCCUUUCUCCUUCCCUUAUGAGAGGGUGCAACACAGAGGCUCCUCCUGAAUGUGGUCUCUUACUCUUGGGUUUCCCAGCCUCCAGAACCAUAAGCCAAAUAAAUUUCUGUUCAUUGUGAGUUACCCAAUCUGAAGUAUUUUGCUCUAGCAGCAGAAAGUAGACCAAGACAAAUAAAUUCCAUAAAUUUUCUAUGCAGAAUUUAGGUAGACUUAUACAGAGGACAAACAAUUCAUCCAACUUAGAGGUUCUCAGGUGUAAUCCCCAGGCCAGCAGCAUUAACAUCACCCUGAAACUUCUUAGAAGUGUAAGUCCUGAUCUACUGAGUCAGAAACUUUGAGGGUAGGGCUUACAAUUUGUGUUUUAAUAAACUUUUCAAACGAUUCUGGGGCUGGGGUGUAGAUCAGUGGCACAGUGCCUGCCUGGCAAGCAUGAGGUCUUGAGUUCCGUUCCUGGUACCAAAAAAAAAAAAAAAAAAAAAAAAACCUCAAAUGAUUGAUUUUGAUGCGCACUAAAGAUUGAGCGCUAUCGUUUUAGCUUUUAUACAGGAAAUCUAAAGUUAAGGUUAGAAAUGACUAUCUGAAUGAAAGUAAACCCGGAAGUUUUACUUCUAGUUUUCAGGUCAAAUCAUAUCCAUCAUCAAAUGUUCCUCAGAUGCCCACUUUGGAAGUUUCUACUGGACUAGGUUGUAAUUAACCAAUUAUAAAAUCAUGACCACUAAAUGCUGCAUUAGUAAGAUUACACAGAGAUCUUACCUUUAAUAUUUUAGUGAGAUUCCAUCUUUUGUAGGUUCAUCCACAUAAAACUUAUUUCGCAGUAGCUGAAAAAGGAAGUUUUCCAAAGAUUAUCAUCUAUGAAUACCCUUCUUUGAGGCCCUACAGAAUCCUUCAAGGUAAGUCUGAUAGAGCCUUUAAAAUAUUUCAUGUUCGACGUUAAUGACAUUCUGAAGAAGACAUAAGAUUAUUGAAUUAAUCAGGAUUCUACAGAGAAAUAAAACUAGUAGGAGAUGGAAAGCAGAUUUAUUUAAUGGGAUCGGCUUACACAAUUUUGGAAACUGUGUAAGUUUAAAAUUUGUAGGCCAAGGCUGAAGGCUGGAAAUUUUAGGGGAGUGAGUUGAUGAUGUGGUCUGAAGGCAGAAUUUUUUUCUCCCUCAUGGAAUCUUUAGUUUUACUUUCAAAACUGAUUGGGUGAGGCUCCCUUAGAUCAUCAAGGAUAAUCUUUUUAAAGUCACUUCCCAGCAGCAUCUAGAUUAUUCUCUAGCCAUCUAGAAUAUUGUUUAGCCAAGUUACACAUAAAAUUAACCAUCACAGUUAUCUUCCAAUUCUGUUUUUCAUGUAGCUAAUUUCAGUAGUUAGUUUUGGCUUUGGAGGUUUUCAGUGACAAAUUUUAUAUUGUAGAUUGAUUUUUCCCAACUUAUCUAAUACACUUUUGUGUUUCUCUUCCUUCAUAAGAUAAAAUAUGUUUACAAAGUGGUUUUUCUCAUGCAAAAUGUGAAUAUGACUUCUUCACCUUCCCCCUUUAUAUCAUGUAAUGUAC